AUCAAAAACUUUGAAUAUACAAACAAAACCUUAUAAUUAUGCAUCAACUAUAUUAAUAUAGAAAAUAUGUAGAACAAGCAUAUAAACAUAAAAAUACCAAAUAUAGAACAAAUGAUUUGAGGCCUUGAUGAUGAACAUUUCAGAGGGUCUGGAAGGAAACUCGGAGGCCAGGUGUGAAACCAGUCAGCUGGGGAAAGCACACCAGUACCUAAAGAGCCAUGCUGCCAAUAGGUGAAAUGUCUACAGGUACAUUAGUAUAUAACAAUACUCCAGCUAUCAUCUCCAGGCGCCCUGGUUUAGCUAAAUACUGUGAAGUCCUCCCAGUACUGCCUGUGACUGCAUAAAAAGAGGGAAACAAAGAGAGAACGAGGGAGGGAGGGAGGAAGGGAGGAAGGAAAGGAAGGAAGGAAGGGAGGAGGGAAGGAAAGAAGGAGGGGGGAGGGAGGGAGGAAGGACAGAAGGUCAACAGGAACAGUCAAAACAGACGGGGUCAAUUUGACCCGUGAGGACGACAGGAAGGUUAACAGGUUGUAACUUAUUACAACGGUUGCUGCUGCUGUUUUCCUGCCUGUCAGUUGCUGUAUGUGUUUUAAAGUCUUCAUGAUAUGAUGUGUAUUGUUUGUAUUUUUAAUGUAUUGGAAGAAGCCGAAGACAAAUUUCCCACUUUGUUGGACAAUAAAGUCAAUUCAAUUCAGAAGCUUCUAAAGGCUGUGUAAGGUUCACACAAUCUGCAGGUUAGCCUCAGCUUUUCUCCUUCCAGUCUGUAGACAUGUUCAAACAGGUAGACCAGGCUCUCCUGGCACGCCUGGCACUCCUGGCAUGCCAGGCACUCCUGUAAAAGGAGCGGCACCACGACUGCACCGAUGCGUUACCAAGGUGUUCACUUCCCCAUUAAGCUGCCUGUGUAAAGAAAAGAUAAUCAGAUUAGACAGAGAAGACUUCUUAAGUUUUUAAGUUUCAUGAUAUGUUAGAAAUAUUAUAUAUAUGUCAGUGCAGAAUAUGAAAUGUAGGCUAAAUAUGGCUGCAUGGCACUGUUCCUACAGAGUAUUAUAAUCAUUAAGUGUUGCUACAUUACAUCAACCUGUUCAGACUUCAGUAAUAUAAAGCACAGAGCUGCUAUCUGUUGUUUUGGUAUUGUUAAUAUGGUGCAGGACGGGUACGAAUAUAAUUAAAUAACGCUACAAACCUCGGUUGUUCUCCUUUUGAGGGUUUCCAGCCUCGUCGGUUCUUCCCUUGCUGCCGAUGUGUUGGUGCAGAUGGUUCUGCCAACGCUAUCGACUACGUUACGUUUUCAAAGAUCAGCGCUCGGCUUGGCUCCAUGUCAUUGACAGCUACUCAUCAAGCCAGAAAUCUUGGUGUAAUUAUUGACUCGGACCUGAACUUUAGCAACCAUCUAAAGCUUAUCACCAAAUCUGCCUACUACCACCUGACAAAUAUAGCUAGAAUGAAGCUCCAAACAAGACAUGGAAAAACUUAUUCAUGCAUUGAUUUUCAGUAGGUUGGAUUACUGUAAUGGUGUCUUUACAGGUCUGAACAAAAAAUCAAUCAUGCAGCUGCAGCGGAUUCAGAGUCCUUACAAACAGCAUUAAACUGGACCAUAUUACACCGGUCCUCAGAUCACUACACUGGCUUCCUGUGAGUCAAAGGAUAGAUUUUAAAAUCUUAUUGCUGGUCUACGAAACACUGAACGGUCUUGGACCAGAAUACAUGCUAGAUCUAUUAGUUCCCUACGAAGCAUCCAGGCCCCUCAGGUCAUCUGGAACCAAACUGAACCAAACAAAGUGAGGCAGCAUUGAGUUACUAUGCUCCUCAUCUGUGGAACAAACUUCCUGUAGAUCUGAGGUCUGCUCAAACUAUCAGCUGCAGCAUUCUCUUAAAUUCAAUGCCUACUUGCUGGUUUUUAUAGCUCCUAUUUAUUUUUUUCCUUUAAACCUUAUCUGUUCUUAUCCCAAUUUUUACUAUUUUAUUCUUUCUUUUAACUUCUAUCAAUAGAUCCUUUCUUUGCUCAAGAGCAGAGCAAGUGAGGCUUUUUUUAAUAAUGUGUUUCCAGCUUCUGUAAAGCUUUGAGUUACCCAGUGUAUGAACUGUGCUAGACAAAUAAACUUGCCUUGUCUUGCCUUUCCUACCCGACUCUCUCCUCCUCGUGUCUCCGCAGAUGAGCUAACAUAUUCUAAGUGUUACUGCUAGCAUAAGCAACACGUGUUGGACAGUGUUUGCACACAGUCUCAGUUUAAUCCACCACUUUUCUACCACUGUCAUUAUAGUAACAUUAAAUCAAGAAUGCUUCCACACAGGAGAAGGAAACAAUGCUGCGUCCUCUAACUAUGGGCCUCCUGUGUCUACGCUCAACGCUCAACGCUCCACGCCUCCUCGAACCAAAUGAGAGAAA
Molecule: long non-coding RNA, 2389 nt
Organism: Scomber scombrus (Atlantic mackerel)
Lineage: Eukaryota; Metazoa; Chordata; Actinopteri; Scombriformes; Scombridae
Exons: 3
Source: RefSeq, a predicted model, not a curated record